Molecule: ribosomal RNA, 588 nt
Filed under: Triticum aestivum (bread wheat)
Lineage: Eukaryota; Viridiplantae; Streptophyta; Magnoliopsida; Poales; Poaceae
Description: partial small subunit ribosomal RNA
Source: RNAcentral
AUGCAGAACGCGGAGGGAGAGAGGGGAGUCGACCGUGACAAGAAUGUGCCACUGCCAGAUAUGAAUAUUGUUAACCAUGAAAAAGAACCUAUCAACAAGAUCGAUGUGCAGAUAGAAAUAAUAGCAAAUUCGCGUCAUAACAAACCAAGAAGAUCAAAUACAAAUAUUACACCACAAGAUUAUAUUUGCACAGCGGACGAUAUUUCCAUUAUUAAAUCAAUCAUGUCCUUACAUGAAAAAACGAAGUUGGUGCACAUCAAUGAUGCAUUAUUAACAAACGCUGAGAUGAGAUGCCUUACGCAUGAUGAUGUGUUUUUGCAUGAUGAUGUAAUAAAUGCAUACAUAUACUGCAUAAGUGCCCAGGAGCAUCUGCAAAAUAGAGCGGAUGGAAAGGUAUUCCUUCCAAUUAACAUCAGAAAAUGCCACUGGUAUCUAUCAGUAAUCAAUGUGAAGAAACGAGAGAUACAGGUACUGGACUCGCUUGGAGUUGGAAUGGGCCGCAGUGACCUCACUAUGACGUUACAAGGACUUGACAAGCAUCUAAAAAUCGCAUGUGAUAUGCCGGAGUUUAAGAGAGGUGAUAGGUAG